This 2556-nucleotide long non-coding RNA is filed under the name Marmota monax (woodchuck). The record is from RNAcentral. Lineage: Eukaryota; Metazoa; Chordata; Mammalia; Rodentia; Sciuridae.
CAGGAACUUCGGAACGCAGUGUGCAAAGUCAUGCUGUGAACACACGUGAAUGUACCACAGCGAACCCACCUUUAUGUGUGUCUACAGAAUAAGUGAAUGGAAAGAAGACAGAAGAGUAGAGAGGGGCAGACAGGCAGAAGGACGAGGGAGGAAGGAGGAAGCACUGGGGACUUAAAUGGAGCAAACCAUCCACGCGUGUGUGGUCAUGUCAAAAUGAACCCGUCAUGUUACGUGUGACUAUGUUGCCUGAUCACAUUCGAGUUGCGGCCAACGAUCGUGGAAAGACCCCCAGCUUGCUUGUCACUAGGGGAAUGCAAAUGAAACCACCAGGAGAUCCACUUCACACCUUCUGCGAUGGGCAGACCCAGACAGAGUUUGGCAAGUGCCGGCGGGGACAUGGAGAAAUCGACACCCUGCACAUUCCUGGUAGGAGUGUCGAGUGCUGCAACCCAAAUGGAAAGCCGUCCAGUGGUUCCUCAAUAUAAAUAUAAAAUUACUUUUGUGACUCAGCAAUUCCACUCCAUGGUACCUACACCAAAGAAUUGGAAAAAACAAAAUACUUGUCCGUGAGUGUUCAUAGCCGCAGUAUUCAUCAGAGCCCAAAGCUGGAAGGAACCCCAAUGUCUGGAUAAGUGGAAAGACAAAUACUGGUAUGUAAUAAUGGAAUACUGUUUAGCCAUGAAAAGGAAUAAAGUAGGGAUACUUAAAUGUGGAUGAAUCUCAACAGCAUUAAGCUAAAUGAAAGAAACUAGUCACGUAUGGAUGACUUCAUUCAUAUGAAGUAUCCAGAACAGAGAAAUCCAUAGAUAUGGAAGGCAGAUUAAUUGUUGCCCACCAGUAGGAGGAGGGGAGACUGGGGAACAGCUGCUUGCUGAGCACAGGGUUCCUGUAUUAGUCAGUGGUCCAUCACUAUAACAAAAUAUCUGAGAUAAUUAACUUAUGAAGAGAAAAGGUUUAUUUUGGCUCUUGGUUGUAGAGGUUCCAGUCUAGGAUGGGAUGGGCCCAUGACUUUUAGGCCUCUGUUGGGUUGCCCGUGAGCAAUGGUGGGGAGUGUUUCGUGGGCCUGACCUCAUGGUCAGGAUGCAAAGGAGGAGGAUGAGGCUGGGGUCCCCAGAUCCUCUUCAAGGUCAUGCCCCCAGUGACCUCAGUACUUCCCACAAGGCCCCUCUACCUUUAGGCCCACAGUGACCCCCAAAGGAGCCACCCUGGGGACCAAGCCUGUUGCACAUGGGCCUUCGGGGGACACUCACAGUCAAACGGAAGCAGCUUCCUUGGGUGAUGAGAAACGUCCUGGAACCAGGUAGAGUGGUGGGCGACACUGUGGGUGUGCUAAAUGCCAUCUGGAACCCUGACUUCCACUGUGGCCCAGGCACGUAUAAAAUCCAGGUAGCGCCUGGGCACUGGGCUCCCAGCGGGCGACUCGGGGCUGCUGUGGUGGGUAAAGAUGGGGCUCUCCUCUGGCCUCCUACAGCUCAGGAAUAAUGGUUUGGGGGACAGAGUAGGGUAGUGGCCAAACUCCCCCCGGGAGCUGCCUUGGGAAUCACAGAAGAGCAAGAACCCCAGGGUGACAGGAAGGGUGAGCCACGCACAACUCCUCCCCUGCCACCCCACCCCACACCACCUCCUGUCCAGCAUCCUGGCCCGCAACCUGGAGGUGACCCUGGAUGGUGGCAUGUCCGCCAGCUCCUCCCCUCCCGGCAGGCCCCUGGAGGGCCAGUCGGGCUGUACGUGGCUCCCAGUCCUGGAGGAAGCUCAGGGACAGCUCAGGUGUGGCGAGUGGGUCUUCCUGGGCUAGAUAGUGGGCAGCUCACCCGAGGGCACAGUCUGGUCUCUCCUGCCACUGACAGAUGUGCUGUGCCUUCUGUGCACGGUGCCAUACUGGCCCAGGAGGCUGUGACCAACCACUGGCCCCUGUGGCCCCUGACCUACCUGAUGCCUGACCCCCCUCCCCACCCCAAGCUACAGCCUCCUCAAUCCUCUUCUGUGCCUCGGGGGCUCCUCUGUCCUCCAUCCACACUCCCCUGAGUUGGGGGGCAGCCACUGACAUACCUGAGCUCAGGUGGGCAGUCUAAUUUGGCUGAGAGUGGCCUGGGAGGGACACGCGUGGGACAGGUGGUGGAGGGCAGAGCAGGGGCCCCUGGCUUGUGUAGUCCACCAGAUCCGGAGAACCAGGGUGCCCAGUGUAUGGUCCCUGCACCACCCAGGGAGGGCCCAACAGGCUCCUGCAGGGGAGGUGAGAUUGGACUCCUUGUCCUUGCCUCAGGAGGUCGCAGGACCCCCCAGCCAGGGACUCCUCCCUCCUCUGGACAGGUCCACCCUCCCCCAAGGGCAGCCACUCGUAUCUUUGUAAGCACAACCCUCAGCUCUGGCCCCAUCUGGAACAAGGACAGAGAAGUGGAUUCAUGAAGGACUUGUAUAAACCUCGGGGACGGGAGAAGCCCUUCCCCUCCUCACAGCCUCAGAGAAACCUCUCUGGACAGAAGUGGCUCUCCAGGGUUGUGCUGAGGGCCCUCGAUCCUGACAUUACCAGCAAAGAGCAACCCCACCCCACCCCCC